RNAcentral lists this ribosomal RNA (169 nucleotides) under Lophodermium sp. 'montoco5 Chiapas'. RNAcentral's name for it is "5.8S ribosomal RNA". It matches the Rfam family "5.8S ribosomal RNA". Rfam says of the family: 5.8S ribosomal RNA (5.8S rRNA) is a component of the large subunit of the eukaryotic ribosome. It is transcribed by RNA polymerase I as part of the 45S precursor that also contains 18S and 28S rRNA. The record is from RNAcentral. Lineage: Eukaryota; Fungi; Ascomycota; Leotiomycetes; Rhytismatales; Rhytismataceae.
UAAAACUUUCAACAACGGAUCUCUUGGUUCUGGCAUCGAUGAAGAACGCAGCGAAAUGCGAUAAGUAAUGUGAAUUGCAGAAUUCAGUGAAUCAUCGAAUCUUUGAACGCACAUUGCGCCCUCUGGUAUUCCGGAGGGCAUGCCUGUUCGAGCGUCAUUACAACCCUCA